AGGGUGGGGUGAUACCCCUUUGGAAAAUGGUCCGUGGUUGCCUUACAGAUGGUAAAUGCCAGGAAGCUGUGAGUGAGGGUCAAGCUAUUCUUGAGCAAUUGCAUGAGGAAAAAUCUGAAGGAUCAUGUAGUGAAGUGGCAGAGAGUAUUAAAAGUAACAGUAGUGAGAAGGCAAAAGAGCCUGAAGAUAAAAAUAGGAGAAGGCUCUACCCAGACUUGACUGAAUUAAAAACGCCUGAGAACACAAGCGACUCAGAGAGUUCUGAGGACCUUGAUAUAUUG
RNAcentral lists this long non-coding RNA (281 nucleotides) under Marmota monax (woodchuck). Lineage: Eukaryota; Metazoa; Chordata; Mammalia; Rodentia; Sciuridae. The record is from RNAcentral.